Molecule: long non-coding RNA, 671 nt
Organism: Arvicola amphibius (Eurasian water vole)
Lineage: Eukaryota; Metazoa; Chordata; Mammalia; Rodentia; Cricetidae
Exons: 4
Source: RefSeq, a predicted model, not a curated record
ACACAGAGGCCAAAGGCCUUUGUCUUCCAAAGGUGACAGUUCUGAACAAGACAGAAGAUGAAACUCACUAGGAUUUGCAGCCAACUGCUUAUACGGUGACCCUUUGGUCAUGGCAACAGGGUCCUCCAGGCCUGUAUCAACCAACAAAGAUAGAGAAUGUUUUCAUAAAUAAACGGUACCACCAAGUCUGGACUCCAAAGUGCGGAUGGGCAGGACUUCCCUCAGUUCUAUGGAACCAAGCUGUUCACCCUUUCCUGAUACUCACAGCAAGAGAACCAGCUGACCAUGGAUUCAAGCCCAAGGAACCAUGAGCUAAAAAGAAAUAUUUCCCCAUGUGGCUGUCAGAGAUUCGUCAUAGAAACAAAACAAAACCUUACAUAUUGCCCCUGAGCAGAAUGAAGACUGGAUAUCACAGCAGGGAUCCAUGUCAUGUGUGAUCACGCUGGCCACGAAACAGAAUCAGAUCUAGAGGAAAAUUCUUUGAGGACCCGAACUGAAAAGAUUUUCUUGGCUCCUCAUCUCGUGUAAUUUUAAAUCAGAACAAUGCUAAGCUCUAAAGUAAGCAGUAAGAACUUCAGUAAAGCUGCAACCUCCCGUCAACACCCCAGAGUGCUGACACUGAUUUCCACCCAAAUACUGAAUUAUAUUAAAAAUCUCUCCAUUCUUCUCAA